This is a non-coding RNA of Garciella nitratireducens DSM 15102, 117 nucleotides long. The record is from Rfam. NCBI's taxonomy places the organism in Bacteria, Bacillati, Bacillota, Clostridia, Eubacteriales, Eubacteriaceae.
UCUCGUAACGAUAGCGAAGGGGAAACACCUGUGCCCAUACCGAACACAGAAGUUAAGCCCUUCAGCGCCGAUGGUACUUGGACGGAGACGUCCUGGGAGAGUAGGUCGUUGCGAGAU